CACGUAGGGGGCGAGCGUUGUCCGGAUUUAUUGGGCGUAAAGAGCUCGUAGGCGGUUUCGUUAGUCGGGUGUGAAAACUCUAGGCUCAACCUGGAGACGCCACCCGAUACUGCGAUGACUAGAGUCCGGUAGGGGAGACUGGAAUUCCUGGUGUAGCGGUGAAAUGCGCAGAUAUCAGGAGGAACACCGGUGGCGAAGGCGGGUCUCUGGGCCGAAACUGACGCUGAGGAGCGAAAGCGUGGGGAGCGAACAGG
RNAcentral lists this ribosomal RNA (254 nucleotides) under uncultured bacterium. Its description in RNAcentral is "partial 16S ribosomal RNA". It matches the Rfam family "Bacterial small subunit ribosomal RNA", at positions 524 to 776 of the family's 1533-position model. The record is from RNAcentral.